AACCAGUACCGUGAGGGAAAGGCGAAAAGAACCCCGGCGAGGGGAGUGAAAAAGAACCUGAAACCGUGUACGUACAAGCAGUGGGAGCCCCACCACUAAGCCAGUGGUGAACUCCACAUACGCAUCCUUUGCUGAGGAUACGGUUAACGGAGCGAAAGCGACGUUCAACCGCAAAAGAAGCAGAGGGGGCUUAGUGGUGGGGUGACUGCGUACCUUUUGUAUAAUGGGUCAGCGACUUAUAUUCUGUAGCAAGGUUAACCGAAUAGGGGAGCCGGAGG
This 278-nucleotide ribosomal RNA is filed under the name Salmonella enterica subsp. enterica serovar Dublin. Its description in RNAcentral is "partial 23S ribosomal RNA". It matches the Rfam family "Bacterial large subunit ribosomal RNA", at positions 493 to 672 of the family's 2925-position model. The record is from RNAcentral. Lineage: Bacteria; Pseudomonadati; Pseudomonadota; Gammaproteobacteria; Enterobacterales; Enterobacteriaceae.